UACGGGGGGGGUAAGCGUUGUUCGGAAUUACUGGGCGUAAAGGGCUCGUGGGCGGCCAACUAAGUCAGACGUGAAAUCCCUCAGCUUAACUGGGGAACUGCGUCUGAUACUGGAUGGCUUGGAUUCGGGAGAGGAAUGCGGAAUUCCAGGUGUAGCGGUGAAAUGCGUAGAUAUCUGGAGGAACACCGGUGGCGAAGGCGGCAUUCUGGACCGAUAUUGACGCUGAGGAGCGAAAGCCAGGGGAGCAAACGGG
This 253-nucleotide ribosomal RNA is filed under the name uncultured bacterium. RNAcentral describes it as "partial 16S ribosomal RNA". It matches the Rfam family "Bacterial small subunit ribosomal RNA", at positions 524 to 776 of the family's 1533-position model. The record is from RNAcentral.